GGGCCUAUAGUCAAAUUUGAUAUCUAACUUGCACUUAGAAGAUGUUCUUAAUGAACUAGAUCCA
RNAcentral lists this transfer RNA (64 nucleotides) under Spongicola levigatus. RNAcentral describes it as "tRNA-Ala". The record is from RNAcentral. Lineage: Eukaryota; Metazoa; Arthropoda; Malacostraca; Decapoda; Spongicolidae.